Molecule: ribosomal RNA, 699 nt
Filed under: uncultured Gammaproteobacteria bacterium
Lineage: Bacteria; Pseudomonadati; Pseudomonadota; Gammaproteobacteria
Description: bacterial SSU rRNA
Rfam family: Bacterial small subunit ribosomal RNA
Source: RNAcentral
AAGUCGAGCGGAAACGAAGAUAGCUUGCUAUCAGGCGUCGAGCGGCGGACGGGUGAGUAACGCGUAGGAACCUACCUAAUAGUUUGGGGUAGCCCAGAGAAAUUUGGAUUAAUACCGGAUACGCCCUACGGGGGAAAGCAGGGGAUCUUCGGACCUUGCGCUAUUAGAUGGGCCUGCGUGAGAUUAGCUAGUUGGUGAGGUAAUGGCUCACCAAGGCGACGAUCUCUAGCUGGUUUGAGAGGAUGAUCAGCCACACUGGGACUGAGACACGGCCCAGACUCCUACGGGAGGCAGCAGUGGGGAAUAUUGCACAAUGGGGGAAACCCUGAUGCAGCCAUGCCGCGUGUGUGAAGAAGGCCCUAGGGUUGUAAAGCACUUUCAGUAGGGAGGAAAGGGUGUUGAUUAAUACUCAACAUCUGUGACGUUACCUACAGAAGAAGCACCGGCUAACUUCGUGCCAGCAGCCGCGGUAAUACGAGGGGUGCAAGCGUUAAUCGGAAUUACUGGGCGUAAAGCGUGCGUAGGCGGUUUGUUAAGCAAGAUGUGAAAGCCCAGGGCUCAACCUUGGAACUGCAUUUUGAACUGGCAAACUAGAGUACUGUAGAGGGUGGUGGAAUUUCCAGUGUAGCGGUGAAAUGCGUAGAGAUUGGAAGGAACAUCAGUGGCGAAGGCGGCCACCUGGACAGAUACUGACGCUGA